UGAAUAAUCAUUUAAACGGCCGCGGUAUCCUAACCGUGCAAAGGUAGCAUAAUCACUUGUCCCCUAAUUAGGGACCCGUAUGAACGGCCAACCGAGGGCAAACCUGUCUCCUACAGCCAAUCAAUGAAACUGAUCUUCUAGUACAAAAGCUAGAAUAUGCGCAUAAGACGAGAAGACCCUGUGGAGCUUUAAGCUAACUACUACCCCACUACAAUAGUACCUCAGCUUUAAGUUGGGGCGACUACGGAGAACAACAGAACCUCCACGACAACGCUAGCCUCUCACCAGGGCUACACCCCAAACAGAAGAAAGCACUGACCCAGCUAACACUGAUCUACGAACCAAGUUACCCCAGGGAUAACAGCGCCAUCCCCUUCAAGAGUCCAUAUCGACAAGGGGGCUUACGACCUCGAUGUUGGAUCAGGGCCACCAAGUGGUGCAGCCGCUACUAAAGGUCCGUUUGUUCAACGGCUAACGCCCUACGUGAUCUGAGUCAAGGAACCGGACCGCCUGUUUACCAAAAAAAACAGCCUGUUUUUCAAAA
This 544-nucleotide ribosomal RNA is filed under the name Hemidactylus brookii. RNAcentral describes it as "partial large subunit ribosomal RNA". It matches the Rfam family "Bacterial large subunit ribosomal RNA", at positions 1912 to 2628 of the family's 2925-position model. Lineage: Eukaryota; Metazoa; Chordata; Lepidosauria; Squamata; Gekkonidae. The record is from RNAcentral.